AGCUCCAAUAGCGUAUAUUAAAGUUGUUGCAGUUAAAAAGCUCGUAGUUGAAUUUUGGACCUGGCUUGGUGGUCUUGCCGCAAGGUUAGCACUGCUGUGGUCGGGUCUUUCCUUCUGCGGAACCUGUGUGCGCUUAAUUGAGUGCGCAGGGGAUGCAGGACUUUUACUUUGAAAAAAUUAGAGUGUUUAAAGCAGGCGUACGCUUGAAUACAUUAGCAUGGAAUAAUAGAAUAGGACUUUGGUUCUAUUUUGUUGGUUUCUAGGACCGAGGUAAUGAUUAAUAGGGACAGUUGGGGGCAUUAGUAUUUAAUUGUCAGAGGUGAAAUUCUUGGAUUUAUUGAAGACUAACUACUGCGAAAGCAUUUGCCAAGGAUGUUUUCA
This 381-nucleotide ribosomal RNA is filed under the name uncultured eukaryote. Its description in RNAcentral is "SSU rRNA". It matches the Rfam family "Eukaryotic small subunit ribosomal RNA", at positions 587 to 972 of the family's 1831-position model. The record is from RNAcentral.